CUUUCCUUGACUCUUGACUGACACCAUUUCCUGAGGUUCUCUUCUCUCAGGAAGGCAAACUCAGGAACGAGUAGGAGUUUGCUGAAAAUCCAGAGCCUUGGAAGGCAGAAAUGCAAUGAUGUCCUUUUCUUUCUAGAAGUAAGGUGUCUUCUGAGAUUCAACGAUGGAACAACACGUCUAGUCAACACAUUACCAUCUUAUGGCACUGUGCAGAACACUCCAAAGCUACCCUGUAUCUGCACAAUUCAUGGAUACCCUGAGAUAUUGUUCUGGUAUCAGGACUGGGAGGUUUGGAUCUAACUCAUCCCACCCAAGGCCCAUCACCCAUCGGUGAUUCAGCUGAAGAUGCUCCUGAAGAGAGGUUUGGUGGCCACGGGAGUCCUGGUGGAACAAAGUGAUGGGCUGACACGGAGGUGAAGCUGGACUCCCUUUGAAUCCUACCAAGCAAGGAAGAAAACAUAAAUUACAGCUCCCCCUGAAUCCUCAAACACGUGAGCCUCUUCCACAGCAGGACAGCCUGCACAUCUUCUUGAAAGAAUAGAGGACUGAUGGUAAAACAGUUAUUUUUGAAGUGGAUUACUGUCCAGCGUGGCAUUUUAGUCUUUCUUGCAUUAGUUCAGGCUGAACACAAUGGUGUCUCUGGAUAAUUUUCCACCUGUCUGUUUUGAAUAUCAGAUGGAAGUGUUUAGCUGGUGAACUGGAAUGGUGCCAGAUUUUGCAGGAGCCUUUUCUCUUGAGUUCUGCUGUUUUUGUAACUACUUAGAUGGAAUUAUCCAAGCAUGCUCCAGGCUGGCAUGGGGUAAAUGCUGAGCAACACAACUGGAAUCGGCUCUUCAUAUGUCAACACAAUUCCAUAGUUAAUGUCAAGGAACAAGCUACUGGAGCACAUUUAACUGUAAUUCACAGGUCCUCAAAGGGCCAGAAGGGUAUUUGAUGUUGUACAGACCUGCAGGAUGACCCUGACCCGUCAGCACAGUCAUUCCAGAAACUGAAAAGAAAGUCAUUUGCACCAUUUUGUUGCUGGACUGAGGUGCAGUGUGCAUAAAUGUGCAUGAAAGCUGUAUUGCUGAGCAUGACUGAAAGCCUCUUCCUCUCUUAAGCAUCCUCUAAUAGGAUGGAAGUAGGAUAAUUCAGCCAGGUAAUGCGGAGCUUUGAAGUUAAUGACUCUAUUAGGUAUUUAGCAUAUUCAUGUUGGAGACCUUGGAUAACUGGAAUACCGAAUUUAGGAUUUCUAAUUGACUCAGCUAUUACUUCCUUGUGCUGCUUGGUUGGGGCUGAUCGUGAGGAAGGAGGUAGCAGUGCCAGCUGCUGUUUUCCCUAGUGGAAAACGAACCCGACCAUCCCCAUUCUCACAUGUGGUUGGUAUCUCCACAGUGCAGGAAUUUGUUAGCUUAAAGCUUCUCUCUAAAUGGGUGACAACUCUUCCCUGAUAAGCUGUGGCAGCCCUGCAUGUGAGACCUCAGACACCAAAUAAACAGUGCUGGCAUCAGAUAAUUCUGUUUAGAAUGCCAAAGCCUCAGAAGUAUCCUAUCUUUUGAAAUGCAGUGAUUUUUUUUUUCAUGGGUUGUUUACAUCUUCCUGCAGUGACUUCAUGUCAGCUGUUAGCUCUUCAGUGUCUAUGAAAGAUUAAACCAUUGAUCCUACAAAGCAUGUGCAGGAUUCUGGUCUUUUUUUUUUUUUCCGUAAGCAUUUGGGGAAUGAUUUAUCCGUCAUUCCUCCCCCUGCUCCUAAAAAUUCUGCUUGGGGUGCUGAUGGGCAAAACAAAACUUGUAACCACUACAGAUGUAGCGCUGGCAGUGUGCUCCAAAGGAGAUGUUGAGGUCGAUGAGUUGGGAAAAGACACGGAUGUUCUGGAGCUCACUGUGCAAAGCUGAACGUCCACCGGCAUCAAAGCACUCGGUGGACAAUUCUGCUUUCUCCCUUUAAAACACAGGGUGCAAAUUGCUGUUGUAAAGAUCACAGCCUUUGAGGGAAGACCUGUUAUUUGGACUGGAAGCUUCCAAUACUUUGGAAGCUGUGAGCAAACAAGACCAACGCUGGCUGCGUGAAAUCACUGAGUACGUCAAGUGCAGAAGGGAAAGCACCAAAAAAGCUGAGGGCUUUGAAACUGUUUAUCUAAGUUUCUUGCAUGGCCCCUCUUAUCGCAGCAUGGCAGCACCUCCCGGAUGGUAAGACGUUUAUCUUCUUGCCAACACCCUCACAGGGUUCCUAUCCCUAUUUUGGUUAGGAGACCCCUGUGCAGGCGCUGAGUGAUAUGCCCAAUGGCACUUGGGGUUUCUGUGGCAGAUCAAGGAAUGAAGCUCAGCUUUCCCAUGCCCUGGGCUAAUUCCUUAGCCCUGUGGGAUCCUGCUAGAAAUGAGCAGAAUGGCUUAGCAAAACACAGCAGCAUGUGGAAUUAAUGCUCCAAUGCUGUAUGAGGGAGGCCAUCCUUGAAUCUUAUGUUGGCACUUAAGUCCCAGCCUUUAGAAACAAGUUGCUGUUCUGUGGUGGGGAGCUGAAGUUGGCCCUGGGAUGAGCAGAAUUCAGCUACCUGGGGCAAAACUUAUUAGUCUGAGUAUAGUACUGUGAUGGGCAGGCCGUGCUGCUUCGGAGACCAGAUCUACACAAUGCCAUGUGUGCAGACCAACUGGGAUUCCAGGCUCUUUCAUCACCUUGGGUCAAAGGAGGAUCUCCUUGUGUCAGCAGGCCACUGGAUUACAACAAAUCACAGAACCAUAGGAGGUGGAAGGGUUUUCAAGGGAUCAUCUUGUCCAGCCCUCUUAGUGGGUUCUCCUGUGCAGUCUGCCCUUGUGAAAGCACUAUCCUGGGAUGCUGUUUUGCAUUAGUUUCCUUCCAAAAUGGGUCUGGCAGUUUCAGCCAUUGACCUGCUGGUUGCCCAUGAGUUGCCCCACGUUCUCACUCCUGCUUUCCUACCACCUCCUCCACCUCCUGAUCCAUGCUCUUCCCAUUACUACCACUGCAGAAUACCCUUGUCCUAACAAUGUGCCUUAGAAUCACAAAUAAUGGAGUGGGGAAUGAAUAACAGGAGAGAGUGAAUAUUUACUGUGUCCAGGUUAUUACUUAAUAACUGCCUGCUUCAUUCUUUGAUAACAUUUAAACUAUCUGAAAUUGCUGCAUCUAAUACAUGCUACUAAAUAGUGCCAUGCCCAUAACUUGAUUGCAGCAAUCCAUCGGGGACGUGUUUCAAAAUGUCAACAUUUCUCUGCAGUUCUUAGCACGAGCGUUGAGAAAACCCAGUGUUUCAGAUGCUGCUGGGUCUGCUAGAUGCUGAAGUGGUGUCAGCACGAUUUCUCUUACUCAGUACUGGCACCCAAAGCCACUUUUUGGGUGAGGCCAGAGUAAUAUUGUACACACGGACAGGCAAUUUGCUUAGAAGGGUAUAUGAGGCUGCAGAACAGUGGGAAGGUGAAGACGAGCACAGAAGGCAACAAUCCCUGCUGGCUGCCUUCCUGCUCCAUGCUCUGUUCCCAGUGGUUUCGCUGAACAGGCGAACUGGUGUGCUGUCAGUCUGGAAUGCCAUCAGCUCCUCCAAACCUUGGUUUCUGAGGGCUCGCUCUCCUGUGCACACUCAGCAAGUCUCCAGUAGGAGCGAAAAGCCUCUUCCAUUGUCACUGCAAGGCAGCAACGCAUCACGAAGUCCUCAUCUAAGGAGAUCCUAGAUGAGUGUCUCAUUUGCAUGUCUAACAAAGCUUUGGGUAAUCACGGAGAGGACGCUGGACUCAGUUAAAAGACUGGGUGUUUGGAAAGAGGCAUCUGUGCUCGGCGAUCCCUUGAUCUGCCUCAGAUUUGAGUCCGUCUUGCAAAAGGAUGCUGCAUCUUCGCUGCACAUCUGGAAAUUCCAGAUUUUUGUGGAAGGCAUUGGGUUCCGGAGCUGGGAGGUCUGGGACAUCAUACUGCUUGUUUUUUCAAGCACUCUUCUGUAGCAAAAGUAAUACCAGGAGUGGAAGGCCUUCCCUGGGCAGCCAGCAGAGGGGAGGAAGUACUGGGGUCUGCUGGCACAGCAGAGCUUGCCAAGGGAGAUCUCGAGUCCAGAUCUGGCUGGUUGCAGCAGUUUUGUUAUGGCAUUAUGCAAAGUCCUUUGAAGAUUUCCUCUUGGCAGAGCCUGCCGCGUCAUCACAGAGGUAGAGCAGGGAAUGAUCUAAAUCUUGUUAGGCGUUGUGAAGCAGUCAGAACAGCUGGCUGCAAAAUUAGCCCCUCAACAAAGAAGGAAGCGAGGGGGUUGUAAGCCUGAAAGAGUAGGGGUGAGGCUGUUAGUGAUACAGGACACAGUGCAGCAGGGGGCUGGGGCAGGUUGGCUCUGGCUUGAGAUGUGAAUGAAAGCAAGUGAAGGUGAGUUAAGGUAUUCAGGGAAAGGGGAGAUGAGCACAGUGAAGUCGAUAUAUGGAACGGCUCCUUUUUCUGAAGUUCCACGAUGUUCACCUAAGUGCAGUGAUCUUCAUGUCCUUCUAAUUCCCCUCUUUGCAAUCUCACAAAUCGAGGGGAUGGCUUUGCUUUUACCUGCUGUUGCAUACUGUUGGUAACUCACGGUGGUCUCCCAAGGUGACUGCCCACACCUGGGGCUGGUCAUGCUCUGACUGUGCAGGUGACAGAGCCUUGGCCAGGACACAUUCUGUGCUUGUGUUCCUGCCAUUUCCCCUCACUCUGGGGUGUCACAUCCUCAGGGCCCCAGCACAGAGGUCUUUAGCUUCACAGCGAUGUCUUUCACACCUUCCCCACCAUAUGCUUCUCUUGCUUCCCUUUCCUGCCAAAGUACAUCCCCAACUUCUCUGUCCGCAUUUGCUCCUCCUCUGUCUCUAAUGAGGCAAAUGUUAAAGCUCAGCAAAGGAUAUCUGUUGAGCUCUGAGGAUUGCUGGUGGGAGAAACCCCACGGGUGGCUGAAAAUGUUUCAGCAUCCCCCUUCUUACUUUUCAUUUACAUCUCGUCUCUGCAGAGUGGGUAGUGUUCCUUGGAAACAGCAACACUUAUAUACGUUACUAUAUUACUUAUAUACAUUAACUAUAUUACAUAUAGUACGAGGGCUGCUCCGAAUGUAGUGCCUCCCAUUUUAUGAUGUCAACCUACAAAGUCAGAGGCAGAUGUUGGUGGUGUGACAGUAGAGGUUGAACCUUCUCACCAAUAUUCCAUUACAUGUUGUUGCCACGUGACAGAUGGCAGCAAGAGGGGCAGUCUGACAGAAUGGCACUUGAAGAAGAUGGAAGAGCAUGUGAAGCAAAGGUAUGUCACUGAAUUCCUCCGUGUGGAAAAAAUGGCACCCAUUGACAUUCAUCAGUGCUGGCUGAACAUUUAUGGAGACCAAACAGUAGAUGUGAGCACAGUGAGUGAUGUUACGACAGCAGCAGUGGGUCACUUGCGCUAGUACAGACUGUUACGUGCAUGGCAUAGAGGUUCUUGUUCAUUGCUAGUGAAGAUGGAUAGCUAAUGAUGGUGACUAUGAUGAAAAAGAAUGUCUUGUAGCUGAGAAUUUGCUCUAUCAAAUACUGUUGUUGUGCUCUUUGUAUCUGCUGUAGUUUCCACGGAAAUAAGAAGGCAUUACUUUUGGAACAACCACUGUAGAUGCAGCCCUGGAUAAUUCCUCUUCACCCAAUGUGGCCCAGCGACCAGCAGCAGAGACGCUGUCCUGCCCGUCCCACAUUGUUUUCCCUGUGGCUUGGAAAGCCCAAAAGUCUCUGGUGAAACCUUUGAAAGCUGCUUCUGUAAAAGGCCCUGAAAACCUCCACCCCAGCAAAACCCCCAGGCUGGGGCUCUUCACUGAAGACCCACGUUGCAUCCGAGGACAAGGCUUUUUCUUCCCAAGGGGGUCCUGCUGUGCGUGGAAAUAUGAAAGAUGCCCUCGAAAAGAAACAAACCCUUCAGGUUGCAGUAGAGACGGAGCGGGGCUGAACAUCAAUUUCAGCUUUCAAGUGACUUUACGCUGUCUCCUUGAUUGACUUGCCAGUUUUAAUACUGUAAAUUGAGGGAUUGCGUGUAAUGCAUUCAUGCCGUUCUUGUCUGGAAUGAAGCAGGAACAUAAUUUAUGGGGAUAUUCUCAUCUCAGCCUUUGAGGAAUUAGCUUCAAUUAACUCUGUUGGGAAUUGCAUGUGUCGGGUGUCAGAAAGCCAUCAAGUUUUCUUUAGAAAUGCCUGCUGCUGCGCACAUUUCAUUCUUUGGCUGUCUGAAGGGUUUUAGCAGUGGAUAAGGAUUCAAAGCUUGGGAAACUCAGAUCCGGGUGACCAAGUUUCACAGGGUUAAUACAGAGCACAGAUGAUGGACAGGGCUGCAGCCCAUUAGGAUUUAUAGCCCUCCAGUACGAGCAGGAGAGUUUUGGGGGAGGGUCGAGCAGCUCCUGAACCCAGUGUGCAGAAUGAGCAAACAAACCAGGAGACAGGCUGGAAAAUAAGAUCUCUGUGGAUAAAUCUUACUGACACCCAUGAGAAUAAGAAAGAGCAUUGGCUUCGGGUGCCAUUUUGAAACAGAGACUCCUCAGCACUCGGUUUCUGUGCUGGUGGGGACAGAUUCAGGCAGAGAUGUCUGAUGCUUCUUGAAGGCCAAAAAUCCCCCCUCCUGGCCCUUAAUCAGCACUUCAUUAUCAGCUGCCACCCCCAGAUCAGCCACCAGCCUCACUUUGUGGGUGCAAACUGUUUCCCAGAGAUGCCCUCACACCUAAAGGGCCAAUUCUCCAUCCCCAGCUUAUCCCGAGGAUUAAAAACCCACCCAAGCGCCAUCUGAGCAAAUCCAAACCAGGAAUCCUAAUCAGUUCUGUUGCUAAAAGUGCAUUAAUGCGACACAAGAGAGAGCGUGGCUUUCUUCCAGCGGAUCCAACAAUCACAGCUCAUUUGGGUGAGGGAUUUUUCUGCUGCUGUGUAUUGACACAAAGGAGCACUUAGCUUGAUAAUGCCUCCUGGCUGCUGCCACGAUGCGAAUAUUAAGAACAAAUUAAGGUGUAAGACUAAGCUCUAGGUGUUGUUACCUGUUCACGGUGAGGUAGCAGUUGCUUCUUUAGCUUUUUCACACCAAAAUAUUGGCUCUCAGCGCUCAGGAGUUUAAAAAUAAAAUUGAGCUCCUACCUAUCGCAGGAAACAAUUAGGAUGCGAGGUCUCUUUUUAAUAUUUCUUCUGUGGUGUUUCUAAUCUGCAGUUUAAUCUGACAUGGUGUGAAGUAGGACCGGCUGCAAUCCCCAUGAAUCCAGCUGGUCGGGAUGACUUGCUCACUGAGCUGGUUGAAAGCAGUGCGGACACAGCAGCUCGCAUAAAUUGAAUGCCAGCUUGAUGUUUGUCAUGGCCACAGAAAUCCAGAGGCUGAGACUGGUGUCAGCAUGGGGAUUGUCCUGCACCAGAGCUCUGCUGCCUGGACUGGCUGGUCUUGGGGUGUUUGCCACUCUGAAUCCCACUUAGGGUGGCAGUGGCAAAGGUGAAAGUAGUUGCUCAAAUUCUCCGAAGUCAAACUGUAUUGACCCUCAGUUAGGUGUAAAGUUUGUUUGCCUACAUGUACCCUUGACAUGACACCUAACUGAGUGGUGCAGCUGAUAGAUCAGAAGGAAGGGAUGGCACCCAGGAGGACCUGGGCAGGCUUUAAAAGUGGGCCCACAUGAAACCAGUGAAGUUCAACAAGGCCAAGUGCAAGGUACUACUCUUGAAUCAGGAUGAUCCCAGCUGUGGGUACUGGGAGAAGAACUCAUUGUGAGCAGCCCUGCCGAAAAGAACAUGGGGGUUCUGGUGGACAAGAAGCUGAGCAUGAGCCUGCAGUGUGUGCUUGCAGCCCAGAAGACCAGCUGUGUCCUGGGCUGCAUCAAGAGAGGGGUGACACUGGGACAAGGAGGGGAUUGUCCCCCUCUGUUCUGCCUUUGUGAGGCUUCAUCUGCAGUACUGCAUCCAGGCCUGGGGCCUCCAGCACAGAAAGGAUGAGGAGCUGUUAGAGCAGGUCCAGAAGAUUCCACAAAGAUGCUUAGAGGGAUGAAGCACCUCUUCCAUGAAGAAAGGUUGAAGGAAGUGGGCUUGUUCAGCCUGGAGAAGAGAAGGCUCCAGGGAGACCUUAUCGUGGCCUUGCAGUACUUGAUGGGAGAUUAUAAGCAGGAGGGAGACUGGCUUUUUACACAGUCUGAUAGUGGUAUGAUAAGAGGGAAUGGCUUUAUGAGGGGAGAUUUAGGUUAGAUGUUAGAAAGAAUUUUUUUACUCAGAGGAUGGUGAGGCUCUGGCACUGCUGCCCAGAGCUGUGGGUGCCCCAUUACCAACCAAAGCCAUUCUGUCAUUAAUAGUUGCAGAAAGAUGAGUGAUUGGGAUGAAAGAGGUGUCUUCUGGGUUACUGAGUGCUGGCGACAAAGCUGGCCAAACACCCUGCCUCCAGAAAUGAUCUCAGCAGUAUGUGCAGCAUAGUCAAACCUAGGGGACUGGAAGGAACAGGGAGAAAUGAGCAACAGAACAAAGCUAGGCUUGCUUUGGAAAUACUUCAGCUAAGUAAACACAUCUAAAACUAAUCUGCUCUCUAGUGAGACGGGGAAGCUGGAAAAAGCAUGGUGAAGCUUUGGUGGCUGACCAUAUGAAGGAUGAGUUCUAGGAGAUGACAGAACAGCUGCUGGGUGACAGGCUGGGAUGUACACGCUCAGUGCUGGGGAGAACAUGGGCUGCAAGUCCAUUGGCUUUCUGACCCUUCUGGGUGGCACCUUGUCCCCUCCUUGGCACCCGCCUACAACACGGCGGUGAUGAGUGGCAGGAAUUUGGAGAAUAGCACCGGCAGUGUGCUGGAGAGGAUGUGCUGGAGAGGAUGAUUUACGUAUGCAAUGCUGACAAGGAGAUGUGUGCAUAGCUUAGCUAAGCACCAGUCUGACACUGGAGGAGAGGAGGGGAGAGGUUAGGUAAGAGCAGCAGUCAUUGGAAAGCCUGAAGUGCUGGUAAGGAAGGAGGGAUAUUUUCGUUGGUGAGAGAGAGAAUGAGGAAAACAAUGGCAUGGCAACCAACAAAGAAAAGUGCAGUGAGGACAUCUGAUAUGGCAUUUAAUGGCUUUCCAAAGGGAAUGGCUGAAGUUCCAUAAACACAAAAUUUGAACAUUACACAGCAAAUAUGGUGUCAGGAAUUGUCCGGGGAUGAGGAUGGAGAGGAAUUUGGAAGCUUCCCCCACCCUGCUUUGACAAUUGCCCUGCAGCAUCCUGCCCUACCCAGCGGUACCGGAGGACUGCUUGUUCUUAGCAGCCCUGGCAGCAUGAAGUGAAACAUCUUCCUUCCAAAGAUACAGGGGGAUUUGGGAAGAGAUCUCCUCCAGGUGAGCAGCACAGCAUUAACCCCUCAGUUCCACGAGUCCCCCCUGGCUGAGCCCGAGCACUCGUGACUUCAGCUCCCUGCUUUGCCCAGCCAAAAAUGAUCUUUUAUUCCCCAACUUCAUUCAGAAAGGAACAUUCUGCUCAGUAAUGGACGAGGAUGACUGCAAAUGCUACCAGCCACACAGUAGCUCUGCGUUCCUCCUGAUUCACUCCGAGAUACAGAUUUGCUGAGGCUACUGGAAACGAUUGGGAAAUGCAGGAAAUGUAUUAGCAUGUGGCUCGGCAGCAGCUUAGCAAAUCUUGCCAAAAUCUCUCUGGCUGCCUGCGCUUUUUCUCUGCUUUUAAUGUCCUUUCAUCUUCAUUAACCUUUUAUAGCUCUGUCUGAUUGCUGCAGCUUUCCCACCAUUUCCUACCAAAAUGUCACUGUAAUAGCUUUGUUAUGGGCAGCCAAUAUCGAUGUUGGCCAUUGCAGGGCUGUUAACAUCUAAGAGAGUGAUUGAGAUGGGAUGGAGCUGUUUGCGAGCAAUGCUGAAGGUCAGAUGGAAGCUGCCAGGAGUGCAUGUAAGAGGGGAGCAGGAUGAUGUUAAUGGAAAUCACCCUCCGAAAUGCAUCUCGGUGGCUCUCCCAGAUGACCGAUAACCUUGUGAGAAUUGCAGCAGCUUCUGCAGCUCCUCGACCCAGCGAAUAAAUGUCCAGCUUUGUUCGUUUGCAACUGAGUUUUGAGGCCAAGUUUAAAAAUGACAGCAAUAAAAAAAAAAAAGCCCUCCAAAAAUGUUCCUUUUUUAAGAGUUUGGAAAAGAUGCUUGUCAGCUGCUGCAGUCUUUGUGAGCCUGGGUGUGGCUUUCUUGGGGUAUAACUCAGAGCUUUCCAUUGUCUAGCAGCUAGCUGGGGCAUUAAAUUGUCACGGAUCACAUCUUUUUCAUCACACAUGCACAAACCUGGAAGAUUAAUUAUACUCCCUUUUGUAAAAUGCAGUAUCCCAAGUGAUUAGGGAAGAAAUGAAUCAAGAAUAUGAAUGUAAGUACCUCAAAGCAGCGCAGCCGUAGCUUGACUUGAAAGAAAACAGCUGCCAAGGAAAAUAGUACAGCAAAAAUGUAGAGCGGCAUCUCAGGGGCUGGGGGAAGUGUUUAGACUGACCUGGGGCUCUGACACCUUGAGGUGGGAUUGCAUCAGCCCUCUUACACCAAGC
RNAcentral lists this long non-coding RNA (10418 nucleotides) under Gallus gallus (chicken). Lineage: Eukaryota; Metazoa; Chordata; Aves; Galliformes; Phasianidae. The record is from RNAcentral.